Molecule: unclassified non-coding RNA, 253 nt
Filed under: uncultured Pseudobdellovibrionaceae bacterium
Lineage: Bacteria; Pseudomonadati; Bdellovibrionota; Bdellovibrionia; Bdellovibrionales; Pseudobdellovibrionaceae
Description: uncultured Bdellovibrionaceae bacterium contains 16S-23S intergenic spacer region
Rfam family: Bacterial small subunit ribosomal RNA
Source: RNAcentral
GACGAGGGCUCCUAGCGUUGUUCGGAAUCAUUGGGCGUAAAGCGUGUGUAGGCGGCCUAGUAAGUCAGGUGUGAAAGCCCCGGGCUCAACCCGGGAAGUGCAUCUGAUACUGCUUGGCUUGAGUACUGGAGAGGAUAGUGGAAUUCCUGGUGUAGUGGUGAAAUACGUAGAUAUCAGGAGGAACACCGGUGGCGAAGGCGGCUAUCUGGCCAUGUACUGACGCUGAGACACGAAAGCGUGGGGAGCAAACAGG